RNAcentral lists this unclassified non-coding RNA (333 nucleotides) under uncultured Gammaproteobacteria bacterium. Its description in RNAcentral is "contains 16S-23S intergenic spacer region". It matches the Rfam family "Bacterial small subunit ribosomal RNA", at positions 860 to 1194 of the family's 1533-position model. The record is from RNAcentral. Lineage: Bacteria; Pseudomonadati; Pseudomonadota; Gammaproteobacteria.
AUACGUCAUCCGCCUGGGGAGUACGGUCGCAAGAUUAAAACUCAAAGGAAUUGACGGGGGCCCGCACAAGCGGUGGAUGAUGUGGUUUAAUUCGAUGCAACGCGAAAAACCUUACCUACCCUUGACAUGUCUAGAAGUUACCAGAGAUGGUUUCGUGCUCGAAAGAGAACUAGAACACAGGUGCUGCAUGGCCGUCGUCAGCUCGUGUCGUGAGAUGUUGGGUUAAGUCCCGCAACGAGCGCAACCCUUAUCAUUAGUUGCUACGCAAGGGCACUCUAAUGAGACUGCCGGUGACAAACCGGAGGAAGGUGGGGAUGACGUAGCUAAGCCUUC